RNAcentral lists this ribosomal RNA (440 nucleotides) under uncultured bacterium. Its description in RNAcentral is "partial 16S ribosomal RNA". It matches the Rfam family "Bacterial small subunit ribosomal RNA", at positions 338 to 795 of the family's 1533-position model. The record is from RNAcentral.
CCUACGGGGGACAGCAGUGGGGAAUAUUGCACAAUGGGGGAAACCCUGAUGCAGCGACGCCGCGUGAGUGAAGAAGUAAUUCGUUAUGUAAAGCUCUAUCAGCAGGGAAGAAAAUGACGGUACCUGAGUAAGAAGCCCCGGCUAACUACGUGCCAGCAGCCGCGGUAAUACGUAGGGGGCAAGCGUUAUCCGGAUUUACUGGGUGGAAAGGGAGCGUAGACGGCAGUGCAAGUCUGGAGUGAAAGGCGGGGGCUCAACCCCCGGACUGCUCUUGAAACUGUACGGCUGGAGUGCAGGAGAGGUAAGUUGAAUUCCUAGUGUAGCGGUGAAAUGCGUAGAUAUUAGGAGGAACACCAGUGGCGAAGGCGGCUUACUGGACUGUAACUGACGUUGAGGCUCGAAAGCGUGGGGAGCAAACAGGAUUAGAUACCCCUGUAGUC